GGAUAUUGACAAUUCACCUGUAGGCUGAGUCACUAAUCAACCAGCAAGGACAUAGAUCACCGACUAGCUGCCUGCAACACGCCCCGAGUUGUCUCACCAUUGCUGUCACCACUUUCACCUGAGGAAAGACAAGAGGCCGCGAGUUCUCACUCCACAAGACCAACAUGACAACAACACAUCAGUUAAUGGCCGCCUUCUACCUGUGCGGGCUUUUGUUUCUUCUCCACGUCGACCCCGUGAACAGCUUAAGAUGCAAGAGUUGUGAGAACACGACACAGUGCAUUACCGGAGAACGCGCGGAUUCUAUUUAUUGUUCUGACGAUCAAAAAUACUGCUUGUCGACCAGAGUAUACAGAUUGGCCGACGAGGCCGGUAAAUAAACAUUUGGGACGAGGAGGGUUUGAGUGUGCGUCCGCGUGCGAAGGUAUUAAACGUGAGUGUACCAACGAGACCACCGUGCCAACCAACGGGUAUUUGUGCCGGUUACUGUCUAUCGGAGGUGAACUACAUACACGAUGCAUGAAAUCCUGCUCCUAUGACAACUGUAACGUUGACCUCCCAGUUGGUUAAAACGGACGAUGAAAAAAGGACUGCAUUUACUGAAGAAUUGAGACCAGAAAACAAGAAACUGUUUCACUCCAACUUGUUUACUCUUGUUUAAGACUUGCUUAAGUCGUCUUGUGUCUCUAUUGUCUCAGAAAACAGAAGAAAACCAGUUGAAAAUGUAA
This 728-nucleotide unclassified non-coding RNA is filed under the name Pomacea canaliculata. Its description in RNAcentral is "uncharacterized LOC112572665, transcript variant X2". The record is from RNAcentral. Lineage: Eukaryota; Metazoa; Mollusca; Gastropoda; Architaenioglossa; Ampullariidae.